GCUGUUUUCGCCCCGGACGAUCACACUUUUUCACAGCUCAGAUUGGCAUGUUGGUGAACUUAUUAGCUUAGAUUUCACGUUAUUCAUGCCUACAUGAGCUGCAUACAACUGCUCUAAUCGGUAGGAUGUGGACGGACAUUGCAUUCAUUCCCAUUCAGCCGUUGGACUGAACCUGUACUGUCUGUAACACAGUAUGGAUGGUCAAUAUGAAGCGAGCUUCAUUGAAUUCCUCCAAGAGCUCUGUACUCCGUUCUGAUCAUUUUGAAGAUGGUUGCUUUGACAGGACUGGGCAAGUGACUCGUCUUAGACAGGAUGCUGUCCCAACCAUGUUUGAUUUCCUGCCUCGUCUUCAGAAGAAUUCACCCAAGCCAAGGAAUUCCCCGAAAGAAAGACGUUUUGAUUCAGCAAACAACCUCCCAGAUACUGCAAAGUCUUCAGCACCUUCAUUUCUCGAGGACCACUCCUACUCAAUAUCAGAAAGUCCAAGAGGGGUAAAGUGGAAGAUAACAGCAAUAAUGGACUGUAUUAAGAACUUGGAGAAGAGGCUGAAAACCACACACGAGAAGUCCCGCCGUGUACAUUACUUGGACAAACAUAACUUGCAAAACUUUACAACAAAUAAUUACCCCAAUGUGCAUUCUGAUUAUUUAAAAUAGCUCAAUGAAAUAGUUUAUCAUUGGGCAUGUAACAAAAGUGAAUUCAUUAAAUUUGAACGUGUUGCAAAAAUGAUGUCUUACAGAAUAUUCAUUCUGACUUAGAAUGUCAGAAGAGAAAAAAGUUUGUGAAAAGUAGGAAUGACGGCAAGAUGACAGAAGAAUAGAACAGGAUAGAGCAAGGGGGACAGAUAAAGGACAAGUCCACUCCAAAAAUUGUUGAUAUGAAUAAAAAGAGAAAAAUCCAACAAGCAUAACACUGAAAAUUUGAUAAAAAAUCGGAUGUAAAAUAAGAAAGUUGUGACAUUUAAAAAUUUUGCUAAAUUUUACAAAAGAGUUAUAUGCACAUUCUGUACACAGUCAGUAUGCAAAUGAGGAGACUGAUGACGUCAUCCACUCACUAUUUCAUUUGAUAUAUAGAAUAAGGUAUAUUCUAAUUUUCUCCUUGUCAUGUUAAACAAAAUUUUAUUCCUCCCUGAUCAUGUGGAAUUAGCAUUAUUCAAUACUUUUUUGGUUCAGUAAAGUUUGUCCUUAUGGUAAAAUCUGUAAAAAAUGAAAUAUUGUAUAAUUCAAACAAUAAAAAACAAAAUAAACAGUGAGUGAGGGACAUUAUCGACUGUCUCAUUUGCAUGUCACUGAGUUGUGAAUAUUUUUGUUUUGUGAAAAAUAAGUGAAAAUUUAAAAUGCCAUAACUUUCUUAGUUUACAUCCCAUUUUGAUGAAAUUGUCAGCGUUAUGCUAGUUUGAUUUUUCUCAAUUUAACUGAACCAACAAUUUUCUUGGGUAGACUUGACCUUUACUAAUGAGCUGUUGGAUAGAGACAAAAAGAUGAAUUGAGAUUGAGGGUGAUAGAGAAAGAGAGACAGGUGUGGGGGAGCCUUUGAUGAAUGCCUGAGAAAGCGAACAUUACCAUAAUUUUUUUUUGAGGAUUUGGACAGUAAUGAAUAGUACAUGUUUUUUCUGUUGGUAUUUCUCAAAAUAUGUGUAUGUCGUAUGUAAUGAAAUGGGUAUAAUCCUUUUGUAAGAUACACUCAUUCAGAAAAUAUUA
Lytechinus pictus (painted urchin) is the source of this 1700-nucleotide long non-coding RNA. RefSeq lists it as uncharacterized. Lineage: Eukaryota; Metazoa; Echinodermata; Echinoidea; Temnopleuroida; Toxopneustidae. The transcript is spliced from 3 exons. The record is from RefSeq and is a predicted model, not a curated record.